RNAcentral lists this ribosomal RNA (468 nucleotides) under uncultured bacterium. RNAcentral's name for it is "partial 16S ribosomal RNA". It matches the Rfam family "Bacterial small subunit ribosomal RNA", at positions 28 to 507 of the family's 1533-position model. The record is from RNAcentral.
GACGAACGCUGGCGGCGUGCUUAACACAUGCAAGUCGAACGGAAAGGCCCUGCUUUUGUGGGGUGCUCGAGUGGCGAACGGGUGAGUAACACGUGAGUAACCUGCCCUUGACUUUGGGAUAACUUCAGGAAACUGGGGCUAAUACCGGAUAGGAGCUCCUGCUGCAUGGUGGGGGUGGGAAAGUUUCGGCGGGCGGGGAUGGACUCGCGGCUUAUCAGCUUGUUGGUGGGGUAGUGGCUUACCAAGGCUUUGACGGGUAGCCGGCCUGAGAGGGUGACCGGGCACAUUGGUACUGAGAUAGGGCCCAGACGGCUACGGGAGGCAGCGGUGGGGAGUCUUGCACAAUGGGCGGACGCCUGAUGCAGCAACGCCGCGUGCGUAAUGACGGCCUUCGGGUUGUAAACCGCUUUCGCCUGUGACGAAGCGGGAGUGACGGUAAUGGGUGAAGAAGCACCGGCUAACUACGUG